GACGAACGCUGGCGGCGUGCUUAACACAUGCAAGUCGAACGGAAAGGCCCUUCUUUUGUUACGUGCUCGAGUGACGAACGGGUGAGUAACACGUGACUUACCUUCCCUUCACUGUUGGAUAACUUCAGGAAACUGUGGCUCAUACCGUAUCGUUUCUCCUGCUGCAUGGUGGGGGUUGGAUUGUUUCGGCGGUUGGGGAUGGACUCGCGGCUUAUCAGCUUGUUGGUGGGGUAGUGGCUUACCAAGGCUUUGACGGGUAGCCGGCCUGAGAGGGGGGCCGGCCACAAUGGGAGUGAGAUGAGGCGCAGAAGACUACGGGAGGAAGCAGUGGGGAAGAUUACAGAAUGAGCGGAAGAAUGAUGAAGCAACGACGCGUGCGGGAUGAUGGCGUUCGGGUGGUAAAAAGCUUUCGCCGGCGACGAAGAGUGAGUGACGGAAAUGGGUAAAGAAGCACCGGCUAACUACGU
RNAcentral lists this ribosomal RNA (467 nucleotides) under uncultured bacterium. Its description in RNAcentral is "partial 16S ribosomal RNA". It matches the Rfam family "Bacterial small subunit ribosomal RNA", at positions 28 to 506 of the family's 1533-position model. The record is from RNAcentral.